AAUCAACGCUGGCGGCGCGCUUAACACAUGCAAGUCGAACGAGAAAGUGGAGCAAUCCAUGAGUACAGUGGCGUACGGGUGAGUAACACGUGGGUAAUCUACCUCUGGGUGUGGAAUAACCCUGGGAAACCGGGGCUAAUACCGCAUAAGCUUUAGCGAGGAAAGUCGCAAGACGCCGAGAGAGGAGCCCGCGGCCGAUUAGCUAGUUGGCAGGGUAAGAGCCUACCAAGGCAAAGAUCGGUAGCCGGCCUGAGAGGGCACACGGCCACACUGGCACUGAAACACGGGCCAGACUCCUACGGGAGGCAGCAGUGGGGAAUUUUGCACAAUGGGGGAAACCCUGAUGCAGCGACGCCGCGUGAGCGAUGAAGCCCUUCGGGGCGUAAAGCUCUUUCGGCAGGGACGAUAAUGACGGUACCUGCAGAAGCAGCUGCGGCUAACUACGUGCCAGCAGCCGCGGUAAUACGUAGGCAGCGAGCGUUGUUCGGAGUUACUGGGCGUAAAGGGUGUGUAGGCGGUUAUUUAAGUUUGGUGUGAAAUCUCCCGGCUCAAUCGGGAGGGUGCGCCGAAUACUGAACGACUAGAGUGCGGGAGAGGAGAGUGGAAUUCCUGGUGUAGCGGUGAAAUGCGUAGAUAUCAGGAGGAACACCGGCGGUGUAGACGGCUCUCUGGACCGCGACUGACGCUGAGACACGAAAGCGUGGGUAGCAAACAGGAUUAGAUACCCUGGUAGUCCACGCCCUAAACGAUGCAUAUUUGGUGUGGGCAGUUCAUUCUGU
This 779-nucleotide ribosomal RNA is filed under the name uncultured bacterium. RNAcentral's name for it is "bacterial SSU rRNA". It matches the Rfam family "Bacterial small subunit ribosomal RNA", at positions 28 to 840 of the family's 1533-position model. The record is from RNAcentral.